CAGCCGCGGUAAUACCAGCGCCACGAGUGGCAAUCGUUUAUUUGGCUAAAGCGUCCGUAGCUGGCGUUGUAAAUCCUUUGUGAAAUCGUUGGGCUUAACCUAACGGCGUGCAGGGGACACUGCAAUGCUUGAGACCGGGAGGAGUCAGAGGUAUUCUUGGGGGAGCGGUAAAAUGCUAUAAUCCCAGGAGGACCGCCAGUGGCGAAGGCGUCUGACUAGAACGGAUCUGACAGUGAGGGACGAAAGCCAGGGGAGCGAACCGGAUUAGAUACGCCUUUUGCGAAAAGUCGUGUCAAAAGCAGUCAAGUGAGACAUUCGCUACGCGAAGUCCCACGAACUUCGUUCGUUAUAAAAUCUAUUGAAGUUCACUGCUUCGUUAUGCGCAAAAAGGUGCUAAUUACCCGAGUAGUCCUGGCUGUAAACGCUGCGAGCUAGGUGUUGCCAUUUCUACAUGAAAUGGCAGUGUCGAAACGAGGGUGUUAAGCUCGCCGCCUGGGAAGUACGGUCGCAAGACUGAAACUUAAAGGAAUUGGCGGGGGAGCACUACAAGGGGUGCGGCGUGCGGUUUAAUCUAACUCAACGCAGAGAACCUCACCAGCGGCGACAGCAGAAUGAAGGUCAGUCUGAAGGGCUUACCUGACGCGCUGAGAGGUAGUGCAUGGCCGCCGUCAGCUCGUGCCGUAAGGUGUCCUCUUAAGUGAGGCAACGAGCGAGACCUGUAUCUGCAAUUGCUAACAGCCAGUUUCUGGGACUGAGCACAUUGCAGGGACUGCCUUGGAAACAAGGAGGAAGGUGCAGGCUACGGUAGGUCUGUAUGCUCCGAAUCCGCUGGGCUACACGCGCGCAACAAUGGUAGCGACAAUGGGCUGCGACCCUGAAAAGGGAAGCUAAUCCUCGAAACGCUAUCCAAGUCCGAAUUGAGGAUUGCAACUCAUCCUCAUGCCGACGGAAUCCCUAGUAAUCAGAGUUCAUCAUACUCUGGUGAAUACGUCCCUGCUCCUUGCACAC
RNAcentral lists this ribosomal RNA (1008 nucleotides) under uncultured archaeon. RNAcentral's name for it is "bacterial SSU rRNA". It matches the Rfam family "Archaeal small subunit ribosomal RNA", at positions 462 to 1344 of the family's 1478-position model. The record is from RNAcentral.